RNAcentral lists this ribosomal RNA (451 nucleotides) under uncultured bacterium. RNAcentral's name for it is "bacterial SSU rRNA". It matches the Rfam family "Bacterial small subunit ribosomal RNA", at positions 349 to 793 of the family's 1533-position model. The record is from RNAcentral.
CAGCAGUGGGGAAUAUUGCACAAUGGGCGCAAGCCUGAUGCUGCCAUGCCGCGUGUGUGAAGAAGGCCUUCGGGUUGUAAAGCACUUUCAGUUGUGAGGAAGGUGGUGUCGUUAAUAGCGGCAUCAUUUGACGUUAGCAACAGAAGAAGCACCGGCUAACUCCGUGCCAGCAGCCGCGGUAAUACGGAGGGUGCGAGCGUUAAUCGGAAUUACUGGGCGUAAAGCGCAUGCAGGUGGUUUGUUAAGUCAGAUGUGAAAGCCCGGGGCUCAACCUCGGAACUGCAUUUGAAACUGGCAGACUAGAGUACUGUAGAGGGGGUAGAAUUUCAGGUGUAGCGGUGAAAUGCGUAGAGAUCUGAAGGAAUACCGGUGGCGAAGGCGGCCCCCUGGACAGAUACUGACACUCAGAUGCGAAAGCGUGGGGAGCAAACAGGAUUAGAUACCCUGGUAG